RNAcentral lists this long non-coding RNA (3528 nucleotides) under Sorghum bicolor (sorghum). RNAcentral describes it as "long non-coding RNA (SBIC_LNC015040)". The record is from RNAcentral. Lineage: Eukaryota; Viridiplantae; Streptophyta; Magnoliopsida; Poales; Poaceae.
AGGUAUGAUUUCUUCUCUUAUGGCACCUCUUUUCUAUAAAAUGUGGCACCUUGCAUUUCCUGAAACGCCACUUGUUCCCUGAUUAUGCUCAACAAAUGCAUUGCAGGUCUAUGGACCAGAGGCCACCAUGACUGGGAUCUGCAAAGAAGCCAUUGAUUGCAUCAUGGCCGCAUAAAUCACAAUGUAGUUGUGCUUGAAGUUGCAUCCGUUUUGUACCAGACGUUCAAUGUAAGCGAUUGUUCCGGUAAAACAGAGAACGAUCAUUGUCAUGAGUAAACUCGGCCUUUGUAACACAAUUUAUGCAAUAAUCAAGAUCUUGGUUUGGGGGGCUCUGUCGCCCUUCUAUGGUGAGCCGGUGAGGUGUGAACGUAUAAUGCACUUGUGAUCCCAAGAUUGAAGAGUACGUGGACAUGCUUGGUAUUUUAUUUUUCUUUAGGAUCCUGUACUGUCUCUGCGGAUUUGUGUUGUUUCUCCUGCGUGUUCUGUUUAUCCUUGGUUGAGAGUUGUGACUACAAAUUUGCUGGCAAACUGGGACUAUUCGACUUCUCGGCUGUGAUGCGGAGCUAGUUCAGAGAGAAAAACAAGAUCUGUAUUCAUCUUUGUUCUUGCUGUAGUAACUGCAGACCAAAACCUAAGAGAUAUGUGAAACUUUACAUCAGCCAGCGAGUAUAUAAUAGACACAUGCUCCUAAUCGAUCAGGUUGGAAACAUUGUUCGCCUAGAUAUAAGUUUAGCACUAGACUCUGGUCUAGGCAUUUGACUGUCUACAUAGUUAACUCUAGGCAAAGACCGUCAAGACACGAAGGCUAGACAUGCCUUAGAUUUUAUUAGACAAUCGACUAGGUCUAGGUGUCUUAGAGCAACUCCUGGGCCUCUAUUUGAGUCUCUAUAGUUAAACAUGAGUGCCUAGACUAAAAAUAACACUCCAGCAGGGUUCCUACUAGAGCCCCCAAUUUUGGGUGGGCACCCAAAUUUCCCCUGCAGACUCCAAUCCUGUUGGCUCAACAACCCCAGCCCUCAUCCUGCGUGGUGUGGCCAUUACCUCCCCGCACCACACAGCCUUGCCCACCUCCCUCCAGUGCCGAUCUCCACUACUGCGCUCCCUCCCUCCACCGCUGGCUGGAUCCGCCGGUGCGCAACUCCAGUGCGGCCCCUUCCCCGCCAUGCGGGCGCUGCCCCGAUGCGCCGAGAGCUUUUAUCUCCUUUACGUUCUGGCCUCUAUGUGGAGGAUGUGAGAAAGAAAGGUUUGACCCAAUAACCAGUGGAUCCCACAUGUCAUUGUUUGUCAAUUUGGAUUUGGGGCCUUCAUUUAGGUGGUCCUGUUGGAGUAAAAGCAAAAAUUUUGAGCACCUAAAAAUAGGGAGAGCACCCAAAUAAUAAGUAGGGCCCUGUUCUUUGGGCUACUGCUGGAGUUAGCUCUUAGACUUAUGUCUAGGCAAUGUGAGAACCCAAAUCUUACCUAAACAAUGUACAAGGAAACAUUCAACCAUCAUACAUAGAUCGAUAUUACUUAUAAUUAAGUCAAUAAUCAUAUCAUGUCAUGUCAUGUCAUGUCAUGUCAUGUCAUGUCAUGUCAUGUCAUGUCAUGUCAUAUCAUAUCAUAUCAUAUCAUAUCAUAUCAUAUCAUAUCAUAUCAUAUCAUAUCAUAUCAUAUCAUAUCAUAUCAUAUCAUAUCAUAUCAUAUCAUAUCAUAUCAUAUCAUAUCAUAUCGAUUCUCUUUGGUUUCUGUAAGUUGUAAAUUAUCAUGUCUAUAUGCUAGAGGUGAUGAUUUCUUUUAGAGAGUAGAGAUGAUGAAUUAAAUGUGUGAUAAACUGAGAACUUGGAACUAUCAUAUUUAAAAUCUCAACUUCUCAUAAUAUUAUCUUAGUGUUUUGGAUGCUAGAGUACAUUUAGCCAAUUAUAUGUGCAUUUUUCUGAUAUCUGUUUGAAAAUUUUGAAAUUUUAGCUACUAUAAAUACAAAAUCAUCUAAUGCGUGACACGUCUAGUGUUGGUCUAGACCGUUAGACACUUGAGCAUUUGAACAUAAACCUACAGGCAAUGUGUGAAGCUCCACAGUCACGACAUGUGACACAGCCAUCACCGGCGUUUCUAACAACCUUUUUCUUUAAGGCCUGUUUACUUCUACCCAAAACCCAAAACUUUUCAAAAUUUCUUGUCACAUCGAAUCUUUAGACGCAUGCAUAGAGUAUUAAAUAUAGACGAAAAUAAAAACUAAUUACACAGUUUGGUCGAAAUUGAUGAGACAAAAUCUUUUGAUCUUAGUUAGUCCAUAAUUAGACAAUAAUUACCACAAACAAACGAACGUGCUACAGUGUCGCGAAAUUUUUUCCUUCGAGAACUAAAUAAGGCCUAAUUUUGAAACCAUUUAAUAUUUUAUUGUAUAUGUCCAAACAGAUAGAGCGUAAAUAUUUUGGGAAAGAACUAAAUAAAAACACUUCAAAUUUUUUUGAAGCCAAGCACUACCAUGCCUGCUCUCAGCUCGGAGUCUCGGACCGGCAGCUAGCCUCCCGUUCAGUGAACACCAGAACUUUUGAUACCAUUAUUAGCCCGUACUCUCCAUCUAGAAUGUAUUUAUCCUGAGUAAAACUUUGCUAAGGCCUUGUUUAGAUCCAAAAAGUUUUUAGAUUUUAAUACUGUAAUACUUUUGUUUUUAUUUGACAAACAUUGUUCAAUCAUGAAGUAACUAGGCUUAAAAGAUUCGUCUCGCAAUUUACCGACAAACUGUACAGUUAGUUUUUAUUUUCAUCUAUAUUUAAUGAUCCAUGCAUGUGCCGUAAGAUUUAAUGUGACGGAGAAUCUUAAAAAAAUUUUGGUUUUUUGAGUGAACUAAACAAGACCUAAGUUUAUGGAAAAAGUACUCCCUCUAUUAUAAAUUAUAAGACGUUUUGUUCUAGAUCUAUUUCAUUUUCUAUGCACUUAGAUAUAUAAAUAUGUCUAGAUGCAUAAUUAAAACAAUAUAUUUAGAAAAACCAGAAUAUCUUAUAAUUUAAAAUAAAUAGAGUAAGUCAGGCUGAAAAGUAUUGUUCGCUAAUUUUUUGUGAGAAAAGAUACUGUAACAUGACGGAUAAGUUUAAACAAAUAGAAACACUAUAACAUGGCUGAUAAGUUCAAGCGAACAAACAACCGUAUUACAGUAUUUUCUCUAAAAAAUCAGCAAAAGAUACUUUUCAAUCUAGCUUAUCAGCAAAGUGAAUAAUGCUAGCAGUACUUUCAUGACUGAGAAAGUUUCUAUGAAAUCACAAGAAGCACCUCAUGAGUUUCAAUAUUUUAAAGGUUCCUACUAGAGGUUGACAUUCUAUCGACUAUUUUUCAGCUUCUUACAAGCAUUUCAAAACCUUUUCAAUUGGAAAAGCAUUAACUUUUAUGAGAAAUUAGCCCAUCAACUUUGAACAAACAACAGGCCAAUGCUUACAGUGACGACAAUCCUUUCUUAAAAUGACAGGGACUUCAAGAAAGUAAAGCCUUGUUUAGUUCACGAAAAGAAAUUUUUUAUGUAUCACAUCAGAUAUGUCAGUACACAUUUGAAGU